Molecule: long non-coding RNA, 2519 nt
Organism: Chinchilla lanigera (long-tailed chinchilla)
Lineage: Eukaryota; Metazoa; Chordata; Mammalia; Rodentia; Chinchillidae
Exons: 3
Source: RefSeq, a predicted model, not a curated record
GGUACCAAGUAUUAUGAUUGGGAUUUUUUCUGUUAUUUUCUUUUGUUAUAUGGGUGCAAAAGAUUGAGAUGUUUGAUAUUGUCUAGGUAUGUAGUGUUGUCAGCUAAGUCCAAGAAAUAGUAAACAGCAAGAAAAUUGAGGAUCUGCAUUAGAGAGUGAUUAAAGUGUUUCCCUAUGAGAUUUUAUCCAGGUAAGGAAAGAAGAGAUCAGGUUAGUGUGAGAGAGUGAAAAUUAUAUGAUCAAUGGAUUGAAAUUCUCAGUAGGAUAAAAAGAUUGUUGAUAUUAGAGUGCUAAAAGUGAAUUGGAAAGAGAUAGAACUCAGGGUUGGAGAUUCAUUAGAUAGAGUUUGUGAAGGGGUUAUUGAUGAUAUGGGCUGAAGUAGGGCCAUGAAAGGAAAUCACUGAGAUAAAGAAGAGAAUAAACUGAGAGAGAAUUCAAGCAGAGUUAGAGAACUGAAGAAUUGCCUAAGUGCUUACUGAAAUGAUGAACUAAGACAGGGGAGCUUUGGCAUGAUAGUGAGCCAUGAGAAGAGGAAACCUAGAAGUUGGUAGGAAACAGGAAAAACAGCAGUGAGAGAUGCAGUCUCAUGGGUUUGUAAGCAGGGAGCAUACCAGAGGUCAAACUAGACAGCUGCUCCCCAUCCAGUUAUUUGUAAAGCUUGAGAAGGGAGAAAGGGAGAAAGGGAAAUGCUGUCUGUAGGAGAGAAUCAGAUUUCAAUGACUGGAAGAAAAGGAAGGAUUCUUCAGAGAAGAGAGUGAGGCUCUUUUGUGACAAGCCAUAGAUUCUGACUGACCCCAUGGAAGUUUAUGUCUACACUGAAGGGCUAUUAAUUGGAAAUUAGUACAAAAUAUGUAUGACAGCAUCAAGCAUGAUCUGACCUUUCACAGGGGUUAAAUACUACAGUUCCAUCACUCUAGUCAAAUAUCAGCUUCAUGUUAUUUAGGUUGGGUCUGAAAUGUGUCAAGAGAAAAGGAGAGUUUUGACAACUUUAACCUCUUGAUAAUAAGCCCUAAUCAGGUAGUUGCUCCUUCACACACGGUGCACAUUUCUGCACAAAAUCUUAAAUUAGAAUGUCUUUGGCAGCAAAUAACAGAAAACACAGCUAAAAUAGCUUAAUUUAUUAUUUAUUAACACAAACAACAAAAGGUCUUAUAGUAGGGUGACUUCAUGUUUUUUUAAUUAAGGGGGUCAAUGACAUCAUCAAGGUCAUAGUUUCAUUUUUUCUUUUCCUGUUCUGCUGUGUUCAGCAUUUUGUAUUGUUUUCAUAUUUCUCUUAACCCAGUACAGCAGAGGCAACUGCAGUCACCACACCUCUGCAAGCUGUAGAAAUAGAAAAGAAAGCUUUCUCUUGUGUGUGACUUUUUAACAGUGAGAACUUUUUGUAAGAAUUUCUUUCCUGUCUCAAUGUUGAGUUUCAUCCCAUGCUCACACUUGUGGUUGACUCAGACCAAGGUGAAGCUACCUGCUGCAGCUUUUGCAUUUUUCUCUGCAGGACACAGACACAUGUUGAAAAAAUCAGGUCUUUGUUAGCAAGGAAGGAGGGAGAAGAACUGCUGGUUGGGUAUCCAAAGAUGUGCUUCAUUGUCCUUUCCUUAAUUGCAUUAUUUGUCACAGCUAUACUGUAAUUAUCUAUUGAAGCCAAACAUGCUGAUUGAUGUCUGUUAUUCUUGUGUACAUGUGUAUAUAAGCAUAUAUAAAUAAGCAUAUAUAUGCUUACAGCAUUAAUUUUCUGUUGCUGAACAUCAAAUUAUCACGAAUUUUGCUUCUUAAGACAAUAUGUAUUUAUUAUUUUAUGACUCCCGUAGAUCUAGAAUCAGGCAAGUUGAAUCUUGGGCCCAAGAGGUUGUGUGGCAUCAAAGAAAUUGCUAGACUGAAGCUCUCAUCUGGAGCUUAAAGUUCCUUUCAGUUUGUCACCAGAACUCAGUUACUUGUGCAUAUAGUCAGGAGGUGCUGGUUUUGUGCUGCUAUUAGGCAGACACCACUCCCAGCUAUGAAACGCUGCCACAAUUUUGCCACGGUUUUCUCUCAGGCAGCUCACAGUGUGAUUAUAUGCUGUCUUCCAGGGAGGCAAGGAUGCAUCUAAUUUCCAACCACCUCCAGAGCAUAAUUGUACAUGUUGGCUAUCCAUCACCAUUUGCCAGAGGAUGGGCAGCAGCAGUGAAAUGCAGCUCCCAGUCAGCUAUCAUUAGGAUGAACUACUGAUACCAUACAGUGAACCGUAUUGGUGAGCUAUGAUGUGUCUUAGGAAGACUGCUCAGAGAGAUUUACAAGGACCCAGCCAAAAUCUAUGAAGAUUUGAAGCAAUUUGUAUUACUGUUGAAGAUAAUGACAAUCCUGAAGAAGGAAAUGGAAAAUAAAAUAUGGCUCUGGAAAUGGAAUUGGUUGGUGAAAUAUAUUACAGGAGCUGAAAGAAAAAUGGAAAAAUUUAGAGAAACUAAUACAAAAAAAAACCAAAUGUAAUAAAGUUGUUCUGCAAAGUACAUAGCACCUUGCUUUAUACUAAGUACUCAAUAAAUAAA